GACGAACGCUGGCGGCGUGCCUAAUACAUGCAAGUCGAGCGGACGUUGUUGGAGCUUGCUCCAACAACGUUAGCGGCGGACGGGUGAGUAACACGUGGGCAACCUGCCUUAACGACUGGGAUAACUCCGGGAAACCGGGGCUAAUACCGGAUAACAUCUAGCACCUCCUGGUGCAAGAUUAAAAGAGGGCCUCUGGCUCUCACGUUAAGAUGGGCCCGCGGCGCAUUAGCUAGUGGGAGAGGUAAUGGCUCCCCAAGGCGACGAUGCGUAGCCGACCUGAGAGGGUGAUCGGCCACACUGGGACUGAGACACGGCCCAGACUCCUACGGGAGGCAGCAGUAGGGAAUCUUCCGCAAUGGACGAAAGUCUGACGGAGCAACGCCGCGUGAGUGAAGAAGGGUUUCGGCUCGUAAAGCUCUGUUAUGAGGGAAGAACACGUACCGUUCGAAUAGGGCGGUACCUUGACGGUACCUCAUCAGAAAGCCACGGCUAACUACGUGCCAGCCGCCGCAGUAA
RNAcentral lists this ribosomal RNA (516 nucleotides) under uncultured bacterium. Its description in RNAcentral is "partial 16S ribosomal RNA". It matches the Rfam family "Bacterial small subunit ribosomal RNA", at positions 28 to 523 of the family's 1533-position model. The record is from RNAcentral.